Homo sapiens (human) is the source of this 701-nucleotide long non-coding RNA. NCBI's taxonomy places the organism in Eukaryota, Metazoa, Chordata, Mammalia, Primates, Hominidae. The record is from Ensembl.
ACACACACACACAUGCACGCAUGCACACACACACACACAGAAGGUGAACACACAGGAUGAGGCCCUGAAAACUCAUUUCACCCGUGUACCUCACCCAAAAAUUCCCCUUUGUACUCCUAUCUUUAUCUCUAACUGACAGCAUGAAGCCCUGACUGCCGAAACCCUCCAGCCCCAGCUCCAGCCCCUCAGGAGGGGACUGCGUGGGAGGAAUGACUCCAGCAAGCCGGCAGCUGACCCGUCUCCUGCCUGCACGCCUCCCGCUGUGGUCCACUGCCGGUGGUCUUCAGCUCUCUCCUCGUCCCACCCCCAUGGUCUGCUGACAGCCCAGCUCAGUGCAUCCCUGCCAUCUCUGCUCUACCGCUGGUCCUCCCAACAACCAACUUACAGGGUUUCACUCCCGUCACCCAGACUGGAGUACAAUGGUGCGAUCUCAGCUCACUGCAACCUCUGCCUCCUGGGCUUAAGCGAUUCUCCUGCCUUGGCCUCCCAAGUAGCUGGGAUUACAGGUGCCUGCCACCACUCCUGGCUAAUUUUUGUAUUUUUUGUAAAGGCGGAGUUUCUCCAUGUUGCCCAGGCUAGUCUCAAACUCCUGAGCUCAAGCAAUCCACCCGCCUCGGCCUCCCAAAUAAGUGGAAUUAUAGGUGUGAGCCACCACGCCGGCCCUGAUGUAUCAAUAUUAAAACAUUUUCUUCAGCCUACAA